UGGUCUCCCAUUCCCUUUAGAGGUUCAUGA
Molecule: non-coding RNA, 30 nt
Filed under: Mus musculus (house mouse)
Lineage: Eukaryota; Metazoa; Chordata; Mammalia; Rodentia; Muridae
Source: RNAcentral